UCCCUGGAGUCUCAGAUAAAGAAUCUGCCUGCAAUGCAGAAGACCCAGGUUCAAUCCCUGGGUUGGGAA
RNAcentral lists this transfer RNA (69 nucleotides) under Bos taurus (domestic cattle). It matches the Rfam family "tRNA". From Rfam's summary of the family: Transfer RNA (tRNA) molecules are approximately 80 nucleotides in length. Their secondary structure includes four short double-helical elements and three loops (D, anti-codon, and T loops). Further hydrogen bonds mediate the characteristic L-shaped molecular structure. tRNAs have two regions of fundamental functional importance: the anti-codon, which is responsible for specific mRNA codon recognition, and the 3' end, to which the tRNAs corresponding amino acid is attached (by aminoacyl-tRNA synthetases). tRNAs cope with the degeneracy of the genetic code in two manners: having more than one tRNA (with a specific anti-codon) for a particular amino acid; and 'wobble' base-pairing, i.e. permitting non-standard base-pairing at the 3rd anti-codon position. Lineage: Eukaryota; Metazoa; Chordata; Mammalia; Artiodactyla; Bovidae. RNAcentral also lists the same sequence under 5 other names. The record is from Rfam by way of RNAcentral.